GACGAACGCUGGCGGCGUGCUUAACACAUGCAAGUCGAACGGAAAGGCCCUGCUUUUGUGGGGUGCUCGAGUGGCGAACGGGUGAGUAACACGUGAGUAACCUGCCCUUGACUUUGGGAUAACUUCAGGAAACUGGGGCUAAUACCGGAUAGGAGCUCCUGCUGCAUGGUGGGGGUUGGAAAGUUUCGGCGGUUGGGGAUGGACUCGCGGCUUAUCAGCUUGUUGGGGGGGUAGUGGCUUACCAAGGCUUUGACGGGUAGCCGGCCUGGGAGGGUGACCGGCCACAUUGGGACUGAGAUACGGCCCAGACUCCUACGGGAGGCAGCAGUGGAGAAUAUUGCACAAUGGGCGGACGCCUGAUGCGGCAACGCCGCGUGCGGGAUGACGUCCUUCGGGUUGUAAACCGCUUUCGCCGUUGACGAAGCGUGAGUGACGGUAAUGGGUAAAGAAGCACCGGCUAACUACGUG
RNAcentral lists this ribosomal RNA (468 nucleotides) under uncultured bacterium. Its description in RNAcentral is "partial 16S ribosomal RNA". It matches the Rfam family "Bacterial small subunit ribosomal RNA", at positions 28 to 507 of the family's 1533-position model. The record is from RNAcentral.